RNAcentral lists this long non-coding RNA (410 nucleotides) under Citrus x clementina. Its description in RNAcentral is "Citrus clementina (C. clementina) long non-coding RNA (CCLE_LNC002121)". Lineage: Eukaryota; Viridiplantae; Streptophyta; Magnoliopsida; Sapindales; Rutaceae. The record is from RNAcentral.
AUCCCGCCCCGCGGUCCCCCCCGGGGCAUGAACCGCCCCCCGGGGGGCCGAAACCGGCAAAACGUGCCAAACGGCCCCGAUCUUACCCAUUUCUCGGCGAUCAAACCGCCGCGCGGCUACCCCCCCAUCCCGAUGCCCCCGGACCGCUGGUCCCGUGGGACCAAACGGAAACGGAAUCGGAGGCCCGGAUCAUGAGUUACGGCCGAAACCGGCAAGGCCUACUAAGCGGCCCCCGAUCUUGCCCAUUUUUCGCCGUUCAAACUGCCGCGCGGCUACCCUCCCAUCCCGAUGCCCCCGGACCGCUGGUCCCGUGGGACGAAACGGAAACGUAAUCGGGGGCCCCGAUCAUGAGUUACGACCCCUUCUUUGCGGCCCCCGAGGCCGUGCGCUAUAGCCCCCCGGGCGCCCCC